UACGUAGGGUGCGAGCGUUGUCCGGAAUUACUGGGCGUAAAGCGCUCGUAGGUGGUUUGUCGCGUUGUUCGUGAAAACUCACAGCUUAACUGUGGGCGUGCGGGCGAUACGGGCAGACUGGAGUACUGCAGGGGAGACUGGAAUUCCUGGUGUAGCGGUGAAAUGCGCAGAUAUCAGGAGGAACACCGGUGGCGAAGGCGGGUCUCUGGGCAACAACUGACGCUGAGGAGCGAAAGCGUGGGGAGCGAACAGG
RNAcentral lists this ribosomal RNA (253 nucleotides) under uncultured bacterium. RNAcentral describes it as "partial 16S ribosomal RNA". It matches the Rfam family "Bacterial small subunit ribosomal RNA", at positions 524 to 776 of the family's 1533-position model. The record is from RNAcentral.